AGGUGUGUCGAAACGGAGCGCUUUCUGCACACCUGUGAUGGGGCGAAGAAUCUCUCCUCUUCCUCCUUCCUUUCCUCCUUCUCCCCUCCGUCCUCCUCCUCUCCAUCCUCCUCCUCUUCCUCUGAGGCCGGGUUGAGUCAUCAUUCUGGAAACCUUCUCCAGCUCUUCCUCGGGAGGGAGACGCCUGCGUGGAAUGCUUCCCGACUUAACCCUUUUCUGGUGCUAAAGAUCGCCCAAGAGUCGGGACAAGAGGGGACAGGCUAUGGUUACCCUGAUUACUCUCUGCUGGACAGCCCAGGAAGGGCAGAGUCACGGACACGGCCCGGCCUUCCUGCAGGCAUCCAGAAAGCUCAUAGGAACCCAGGUAAGAACACAAUGGAUGUGUGGGCAGUGGACCUGAAUCUAGCAACUUCGCUCCACCUAUACACUACAAAAUUUACGAGCAACCCAGAAAGAUCCUUCAGCAAUAAUUCCUACAUGGGCUCAACUUCUAGGUGCAGCCAGCUUUCCUUUAGACGUGCGGGGCCUCUGUGGACACCGUGGAUGGCAUGGGCAUACAAGAACUGAGAAACGCAUGCCCUGUCUUGUCACCAACAAAAGUGCCCCGAGACACCAAGCUUCACACACGCAGGACCAGAGUUCCCCUCAUACUCAGAGCAGCAGCUAGGGCAUCACAGCUGUUUUCCACGGCUCUUCCUGCAGCGUGUACAUGCACGCAGAAAUGGCCCUUAGGAGUCAAGGGGCCUUCUUCUUAUUUGCUUUUCUACAAGAUAACUUUCCCAAAAGAGCACUGGAGUUAGGAGGAGGAAGUCAGAGUUACAGGUGCAGCCAGAGUCCUGAUGGAGCCCCGAGUCAUCUGACUUACAGGGAUGAAUCUUUUGAGGCCGGCAGAGGGGCUGAGGAGGGUCAGGCUUGGCUGUUCAUGGCCACGGGCUGCUGAUUUAUAACCUCAGAAUGGGCUCCAGGUUGGAGCGAAUGCUUGAUUGAAUACUGCAUCUACCACAGGCCUCCCUCCAGGAUGCCUGCUUCCAGCCUCAGGAUGAGGGGACAGUGGGCUUCCCUGUGGUGGGUGGAGCUCCUUCUGGAGCGGGUUUAGAGCCCACCUGACCCUGGACACCAGGUACCUCCUGAAGAAGAGCUAGAAAUAAAGCAUCAACAGAGACGUCA
Molecule: long non-coding RNA, 1167 nt
Filed under: Sus scrofa (pig)
Lineage: Eukaryota; Metazoa; Chordata; Mammalia; Artiodactyla; Suidae
Description: lncRNA (ENSSSCG00025058611.1)
Source: RNAcentral